This is a long non-coding RNA of Echinops telfairi (small Madagascar hedgehog), 422 nucleotides long. RefSeq lists it as uncharacterized. The record is from RefSeq and is a predicted model, not a curated record. The transcript is spliced from 2 exons. NCBI's taxonomy places the organism in Eukaryota, Metazoa, Chordata, Mammalia, Afrosoricida, Tenrecidae.
GACGGUCCAUUUCCUGUCCUUCUUGGAGGCCGAAAUCGCGCGCAGAAGACUUCUCCCCAUGGCGGAGCACCUCGGAGAGGGGGUCCACAAGGAGAUCACGGCGAACGACACAGGCCUGACCAUUCGCCUGAUGGCCGAUAACUGGGACCUGCUGCAGAUUGCCACCGUCAAACUGGUCUCCCAGCUCUACGUGGUGGUCCAGUCCAUGCAGCCCUAUUGGUCCUGCUUUCAAAGGAAGCUGGGACCCAGCACGGAUAGCUGAGCCUUUGGGUGCCGUCCCCCGCUCUUGUGUCCCUCCGAAGCUGGAAGAGGAGGACGGGUUGGGUGGUAACUCUCUGUCCCAGCUCAAAAUAAAGCUGAGAUUCUUUAAUUCCGAGUCCGGGGUCCCUUCUCUGCACAAAAAUAAAGCUGAGAUUCUUCUA